UCCGGGUUGGACCCGGCGGUCCCGCCAGACAUCGUAACUGGCAGCGAGGGUUGCGCUCGUUGCGGGACUUAACCCAACACCUCACGGCACGAGCUGACGACAGCCAUGCAGCACCUCGACUAGUGUCCCUUGCGGGAAAAGCGACUUUCGCCGCCUGUCACUAGCCGUUCGAGCCCAGGUAAGGUUCUUCGCGUUGCGUCGAAUUAAACCACAUACUCCACCGCUUGUGCGGGCCCCCGUCAAUUCCUUUGAGUUUCAGUCUUGCGACCGUACUCCCCAGGCGGCGAACUUAACGCGUUAGCUUCGAUACUGAGAGCCAAAUUGCUCCCAACAUCUAGUUCGCAUCGUUUACGGCGUGGACUAC
Molecule: unclassified non-coding RNA, 364 nt
Filed under: uncultured bacterium
Lineage: Bacteria
Description: contains 16S-23S intergenic spacer region
Source: RNAcentral